UGUGAUGCAGGUGUGACUUGAUUCUUCAA
This 29-nucleotide non-coding RNA is filed under the name Homo sapiens (human). The record is from RNAcentral. Lineage: Eukaryota; Metazoa; Chordata; Mammalia; Primates; Hominidae.